This 253-nucleotide ribosomal RNA is filed under the name uncultured bacterium. RNAcentral's name for it is "partial 16S ribosomal RNA". It matches the Rfam family "Bacterial small subunit ribosomal RNA", at positions 524 to 776 of the family's 1533-position model. The record is from RNAcentral.
UACGUAGGGUGCAAGCGUUGUCCGGAAUUAUUGGGCGUAAAGGGCUCGUAGGCGGUCCAUCACGUCGGGAGUGAAAAGCUGGGGCUUAACCCCAGUCCUGCUUCCGAUACGGGUGGACUAGAGGUAGGCAGGGGAGAACGGAAUUCCUGGUGUAGCGGUGAAAUGCGCAGAUAUCAGGAGGAACACCGAUGGCGAAGGCAGGUCUCUGGGCAUUAACUGACGCUGAGAAGCGAAAGCAUGGGGAGCGAACAGG